Molecule: long non-coding RNA, 1610 nt
Organism: Sarcophilus harrisii (Tasmanian devil)
Lineage: Eukaryota; Metazoa; Chordata; Mammalia; Dasyuromorphia; Dasyuridae
Source: Ensembl
GAAAGAACCUGUGCUGACAGGGCAUCCUAGGGUUAGAGCUAGAAGGGCCCAGGGAGAUCCAGCUGGCCUCGUUUUACAGACUUGGAAACUGAGAGAUGAAAGAUUAGCUGAGACUUUGUAAGGAAGAAGCAGAGCCUCAUUUUCCAUCUCCAAAUUGCGCAUUUGUAUAUGCUUGGAUAGGGCAGUAGGAGGCUAUGUCAGAAAGAUCAGGAAGAUGCACAGCAGGGAGGAUUUGAACAUUUUGUGCUAAAAAUUUGAAGGGAUCCUGAAUAGUUCUGGGGCGCCAUCUUCUGGUGAGUGAGUAUGUAGAGGACACCACUACCUAAGGGAGAUUCAGCCAGUCUUAGACUAAUUAAAUUGUCAUUUAAAAUGAAGGACUUGAACUUGAAACUGCAAUUGAAGUAGUUUCUAAGGAUAAUCAUAGCAUGUUGUAACUGAAUGAAAGAGCAUUUAAGCCGUUAAUGUUGUAAUUAGGGAGCACAGUGUUAAGUGAUCGGAAGACAAAUAGAAAAAUAAACCUGUUUUCAAGGAGCUCACAUUCCUGGAAUGGGGAAAACAAUACCGAUGUACAAGAUUUGAGCUGUAAAUCAGAUGAAAAGAACCCAUUUCCUUCAUUAUGUUGCUGCCAAACAGAUGGCAACACAUCUUUAAUGCCUUUUCUGUUGGCUAAACUUUAUCCAUUUCUAAUGAAAAGACCUUAGAGAUCCAGUUCAACCCCCUCGUUUGAAAAAAUGAGGGAAAAGGCUUAAUGCUCAUACAUUUUGUGACAAAACCAAGAUAAAAACCUAAGCAUCCCUGAUAAUCCAGUACUCUUUUUCCCUAUACCAAGAAACAGUGGCACUCUAUAGUUAACAAUACUUGAGAAAUUGAACAAUAUAACCAUAGGAAAACUUCAAGGAAAAGAAUGUGGGCUUUGAGUUGGAGAUCUGCUUUACUCACUAAAUAACUAGGCAAAUUAUUUAGCCAGGUAUAAAAAAUAUAUAUAACAUAUAAUAUUAUACAUAGUUACAUAAUAUUAUAAGUAUAAUAUAUAGGUCAGUUUUCCAUUCUGUUAAAAGAAUAACUUCAUACUUCAGCAGAGAGGGUAAAAAUCAAAUGAAGUGAUGUGAAAACAUUUUGAAAAGGUUAAAAAUGUUGUUUAGGUAUAAAAGAAUAUAUAACAUAUUAUAUAUAUUAUAUAAUAUUAUAUAUAUAGUAUAAAAGACCUUAGAUCUGAACUACAGUGGACUAUAUCCAGCUCAUACAAGUCUUGUCUUUCCUGAUGGACUUAACGUUGAUUUGCCUGAAGACCUUGCAUGAUGAUUUGUUCUGGGAACUUACUGGGCUCCUAUCCUUUAAUGAAAAAUGCAUUGUAUACUAUAUGAUGACCAGUUCUGAUGGACCAGGCCAUCCUCAGCAAUGAGAUCAACCAAACCAUUUCCAAUGGAGCAGUAACGAACUGAACCAGCCAAUCCCUAUAUUUAUGCACACCUGCAUUUUUGAUUUCCUUCACAAGCUAAUUGUACAAUAUUUCAGAGUCUGAUUCUUUUUGUACAGCAAAAUAACGUUUUGGUCAUGUAUACUUAUUGUGUAUCUAAUUUAUAUUUUAAUAUAUUUAACAUCUACUGGUC